GUGCUCACUUUGGCAGCAAAUAUACUAAAAUUAGAACAAUACAGAGAUUAGCAAGGCCCCUGCACAAGGAUGACAUGCAAAUUUGUGAAGCGUUCCAUAUUUAA
This is a small nuclear RNA of Otolemur garnettii (small-eared galago), 104 nucleotides long. Lineage: Eukaryota; Metazoa; Chordata; Mammalia; Primates; Galagidae. The record is from Ensembl.